Molecule: ribosomal RNA, 492 nt
Filed under: uncultured bacterium
Lineage: Bacteria
Description: partial 16S ribosomal RNA
Rfam family: Bacterial small subunit ribosomal RNA
Source: RNAcentral
AGUGAACGCUGGCGGUAGGCCUAACACAUGCAAGUCGAACGGCAGCACAGUAAGAGCUUGCUCUUACGGGUGGCGAGUGGCGGACGGGUGAGGAAUACAUCGGAAUCUACUUUUUCGUGGGGGAUAACGUAGGGAAACUUACGCUAAUACCGCAUACGACCUACGGGUGAAAGCAGGGGAUCUUCGGACCUUGCGCGAUUGAAUGAGCCGAUGUCGGAUUAGCUAGUUGGCGGGGUAAAGGCCCACCAAGGCGACGAUCCGUAGCUGGUCUGAGAGGAUGAUCAGCCACACUGGAACUGAGACACGGUCCAGACUCCUACGGGAGGCAGCAGUGGGGAAUAUUGGACAAUGGGCGCAAGCCUGAUCCAGCCAUACCGCGUGGGUGAAGAAGGCCUUUGGGUUGUAAAGCCCUUUUGUUGGGAAAGAAAAGCAGCAGGUUAAUACCCCGCUGUUCUGACGGUACCCAAAGAAUAAGCACCGGCAAACUUCGUG